Long non-coding RNA from Triticum aestivum (bread wheat), 1197 nucleotides. RefSeq lists it as uncharacterized. The transcript has 3 exons. Lineage: Eukaryota; Viridiplantae; Streptophyta; Magnoliopsida; Poales; Poaceae. The record is from RefSeq and is a predicted model, not a curated record.
UGAUGAUGUGUCUGGCAUGAAAAUUGUCUUCGGCAUUGCAAGGGGGGUUCCUCCACCGAAUACUUCAAAGCAUCUGAACCGAAGGGCUAUAUUCGGCCCUUACAUCUUCGGUCUUGGUAAGGUGAAUUCUUCGAACAACUCGUUUUUACAUUAAAUCUCAUACCCUUCGGUUUCUGUGCUUCCGUCGCCUCAGCUUACACAUGGCAAACGAAUACGAAGGGUCCAACCAUUUUUACAGAUAACCCCCCCGAAAGGUCAUUUUGUGUAGAUUUAAUAGUCAUGUACCAGUAGCCCCGAGACUUGAAAACAGUUGAAGCAACCGAUUUUAAGGAUCGAUGUAUAAUCAGGUACUUACGGAGAAGAACAACAUGCUAUCUCGGGAGCUGGAACAGUGUCGGACCCAGCUGACUACUGUUACCGCCAAACUGGAGAAGUCCAAGGAGGCACCGACUGGAUAGUCGGAUCAGCUGGAAGAGAAACUAAAAGCCGCGCAGGCGGAUAAAGAACAUGCCGAAAGGCAAGAGGCUGCUGGUCAACGUGUACUGACACGGACCAGGGACGAGAAGAACAAGCUGCAGGAUGCCAACAUCCAGCUCGGCGAAGAGCUGAAAGACGUGCGAGCCCAACUGGCGGACGCCUUGAAGGAGAACAGAAAGCUGAGAGGCGGCAUAUUCAGUGUGUUGACUGGGUGGCCCGAAGAAGAGGUGUCCGGAUUUCAAGGCGACCUGCUACAAGAGCUGUCGAAGGUGCAUGAGCGAGCGUGGAAGGCAAUGAGAAACAUCGCUAAGGCUUUAUGUCCAACCGAUUCUCCUCCAGGAAGUAUGGAGGAAUGCGUGAAUUUAUUCAAAGAAGCUCGGCGCUGUUUUGGGCUAUGGAAGAUAUCGGCAUGCCGAGAAGGCACUCGGGAAGCCUGGGCCAUGGUAAAACACGGUACACCGGACUUGAUCCAAAUAAUAUGGCGCGGGUCAGACCUCGAGGAUCCGAUGGACAGGAAAUUCCGGUCAACCUGGUGUACGACCAAGUGAAGGUGGCCACCAAGUUUUCGCAACAGGAUUGUAAACUAGACAACCUGUUAGAGGGUCUAGAGGAAGAAGAAGUUUUUGAGUCCAAGUAGAAAUGUACUUUUAUCGACAAACUUGUCUCCAGCCGAAUUUGUAAAAUGAUUGUCAUGGCAGACUUUCUGCUUCGACCUCCGAA